AUAAAUUAUAUUGUGAAAUGCUGUGCCGGAAACAGAAUAAAUACAGAAGAAAGCAAAACAAUCUUCCUGGCAAGCAGGAACAUGUGGAAGGGGAACAGCAGUGAAAUUGGAUGUGACCAUGUUCAGCAGAUCCAAAAAGCAUCAGAAUAGUUUGCUUGACCUCUCAUCCUCGAGCCUCAAAUCAGAGACCGCUUCUUCCCCUGCCUUUGCCAUCAGGCCUGCUUGCUGCCCUCAACAGCAUUUUCGACUGCGGAAGGGACAAGGAGGAUAACAGUUACUUGUACGUUGUCUGUGGUCACUGCUACUGAACCAAUCCUCACACUCAGGUACAUCCUGAUAUCAGAAACCUCAAAAGGAGGAAUAAAUUCAUCUUGAUUGAAUCCUGCCAUCAUGGACAGUAUUUUUCAGGGAACCAGGAACUUGGAAGCACGUCUGCGAAGCCCAAGCUCAUCUACUUCAGUGGAGCCGGUCCGAUGGCUGCUGGCAGCAGCCGGGGUGGAGGUUAGUCAGUGCCGAACACGCUGCUCCGGACUGAUGUUCUCCCCGGCCUCCGCAAGGAACAACUUAACAUUCACACAGAGGAAAAAUGGCUGCAAGAUGCUGGCUAGAUUCAUUUGGCUAGUAGAACUGGCCGGCAUGUUUGGCACUACCCUGUGUAAUGACUAAAGUUUGGGAAACAAACUCCGUGGAGGAGACUUCUUUUAAAGGCUCCUAAAUACUGAGCUUGCCAGCUGUGCAGAACCACCGUAACUCAUUUAGCUCACAGUUACGCUGUGUAUAAGGGAAAGGAGGUUGUUGACGUACAGGUUCUGGGGGGUGGGGGGGUGUUGAAAAUAGCUGAUUUGGCUUGUGCUUCCCUUUGGCACUGUCUUCUUCCUGCAGAUGCCUGUACCCUGUUUCUACCUGCAUAUAGGUUAUCUGUGAAUCAGUGCACUGAGGUGGAAGUGGCCAGGCCCCCUGCUUCUCCUCAGCUGUGAUCCUCGGGGCAUCUGCAGCCAAACGGUGCUGCUGAAGAGCCCGCUCAUUCUCUUUAGUUUUGCUGGGCUGUUUUUCUCGGGGUUGUGCAGGCCCUUACAGACAAAACUUUGCAAUAAAGCCAUGCAACAUUUUUCUGUCGUUUUCCA
This 1124-nucleotide long non-coding RNA is filed under the name Struthio camelus australis. Its description in RNAcentral is "lncRNA (ENSSCUG00000009113.1)". The record is from RNAcentral. Lineage: Eukaryota; Metazoa; Chordata; Aves; Struthioniformes; Struthionidae.